This is a long non-coding RNA of Zophobas morio, 306 nucleotides long. RefSeq lists it as uncharacterized. The record is from RefSeq and is a predicted model, not a curated record. NCBI's taxonomy places the organism in Eukaryota, Metazoa, Arthropoda, Insecta, Coleoptera, Tenebrionidae. The transcript is spliced from 4 exons.
UAUGAAAGAAAAUGGAAUUCAAUUAUUGCAGUUUGGUGUUCCUGGAAAUAAAGAGCCUUUUUUUGAUAUUCCAGACGCUGUUAUUCAAAUGGCACUUUCUGCACUUUUGGACACAAGAAAUUAUCCUUUAUUAGUCCACUGCAAUAAAGGAAAACAUCGAACGGGAUGCUUAAUUGGAUGUUUGAGAAAAGUUCAGGGCUGGUGCCACACUUCUAUAUGUGAAGAAUAUCGUCGCUUUGCCUUUCCAAAACCACGAACGAUGGAUCAACAAUUCAUUGAACUUUUUGAUGUCUCGCAAGUAAAAUA